Molecule: ribosomal RNA, 463 nt
Filed under: uncultured bacterium
Lineage: Bacteria
Description: bacterial SSU rRNA
Rfam family: Bacterial small subunit ribosomal RNA
Source: RNAcentral
GAUGAACGCUGGCGGCGUGCAUAACACAUUCAAGUCGAACGGUGAUGAGGACUUCGGUCCUCUGAUCAGUGGCGGACGGGUGAGUAACGCGUGAGCAACCUGCCCUAUAUUGCGGGAUAACAACCGGAAACAGUUGCUAAUACCGCAUGACGUAUUCGGAUCGCAUGUUCUGAAUACCAAAGAAUUUUGAUAUAGGAUGGGCUCGCGUCCGAUUAGGCAGUUGGUGGGUAACGGCCCACCAAACCGACGAUCGGUAGCCGAACUGAGAGGUUGAACGGCCACAUUGGAACUGAGAUACGGUCCAGACUCCUACGGGAGGCAGCAGUGGGGAAUAUUGGGCAAUGGGCGAAAGCCUGACCCAGCGACGCCGCGUGAGGGAAGAAGGUCUUCGGAUUGUAAACCUCUUUCAGCAGGGAAGAAGCAAGUGACGGUACCUGCAGAAGAAGUCACGGCUAACUACGUG